UACGGAGGGUGCAAGCGUUAAUCGGAAUUACUGGGCGUAAAGCGCGCGUAGGUGGCUUGAUAAGCCGGUUGUGAAAGCCCCGGGCUCAACCUGGGAACGGCAUCCGGAACUGUCAGGCUAGAGUGCAGGAGAGGAAGGUAGAAUUCCCGGUGUAGCGGUGAAAUGCGUAGAGAUCGGGAGGAAUACCAGUGGCGAAGGCGGCCUUCUGGACUGACACUGACACUGAGGUGCGAAAGCGUGGGGAGCAAACAGG
Molecule: ribosomal RNA, 253 nt
Filed under: uncultured microorganism
Description: partial 16S ribosomal RNA
Rfam family: Bacterial small subunit ribosomal RNA
Source: RNAcentral